Molecule: unclassified non-coding RNA, 257 nt
Filed under: Hevea brasiliensis (rubber tree)
Lineage: Eukaryota; Viridiplantae; Streptophyta; Magnoliopsida; Malpighiales; Euphorbiaceae
Source: RNAcentral
GGCUUUGGAAGGAGUGGUCCCUGAUCAAGUCACUUUCAUUAGUACUUUAUCUGCAUGUAGUCAUGCUGGUCUCACUGACCAGGGUUUAGAAUUAUUCCAACGCAUGACUCAGGUAUAUGGAAUGGAAUUAUUGGCCGAGCAUUAUGCUUGCAUUGUUGAUUUGCUUGGGCGGGCGGGAAGGUUAGAUGAGGCUUUUGAGAUAGUGAAGGGAAUGAAAAUUAAAGCAAAUGCUGGUGUAUGGGGUGCAUUGCUAGCUG